RNAcentral lists this ribosomal RNA (497 nucleotides) under uncultured bacterium. Its description in RNAcentral is "partial 16S ribosomal RNA". It matches the Rfam family "Bacterial small subunit ribosomal RNA", at positions 28 to 507 of the family's 1533-position model. The record is from RNAcentral.
GAUGAACGCUGGCGGCGUGCCUAAUACAUGCAAGUCGAGCGAACGGACGAGAAGCUUGCUUCUCUGAUGUUAGCGGCGGACGGGUGAGUAACACGUGGAUAACCUACCUAUAAGACUGGGAUAACUUCGGGAAACCGGAGCUAAUACCGGAUAAUAUUUUGAACCGCAUGGUUCAAAAGUGAAAGACGGUCUUGCUGUCACUUAUAGAUGGAUCCGCGCUGCAUUAGCUAGUUGGUAAGGUAACGGCUUACCAAGGCAACGAUGCAUAGCCGACCUGAGAGGGUGAACGGCCACACUGGAACUGAAGCACGGUCCAGAAUCCUAAGGGAGGCAACCGUAGGGAAACUUCCGCAAUGGGCGGAAGCCUGACGGAACAACGCCGCGUGGGUGGUGAAGGUCUUCGGAUCGUAAAACUCUGUUAUUAGGGGAGAACAUAUGUGUAAGUAACUGUGCACAUCUUGACGGUACCUAAACAAAAAGCCACGGCUAAAUACGUG